Molecule: ribosomal RNA, 274 nt
Filed under: uncultured bacterium
Lineage: Bacteria
Description: partial 16S ribosomal RNA
Rfam family: Bacterial small subunit ribosomal RNA
Source: RNAcentral
AUACGGAGGGUCCAAGCGUUAUCCGGAUUCAUUGGGUUUAAAGGGUCCGCAGGCGGGGAAAUAAGUCAGUGGUGAAAGCCUACAGCUCAACUGUAGAACUGCCAUUGAUACUGUUUUUCUUGAGUAUAGAUGAAGUGGGCGGAAUAUAUCAUGUAGCGGUGAAAUGCAUAGAUACGAUAUAGAACACCGAUUGCGAAGGCAGCUCACUAAACUAUUACUGACGCUCAGGGACGAAAGCGUGGGGAGCGAACAGGAUUAGAAACCCCAGUAGUCC